Molecule: ribosomal RNA, 498 nt
Filed under: uncultured bacterium
Lineage: Bacteria
Description: partial 16S ribosomal RNA
Rfam family: Bacterial small subunit ribosomal RNA
Source: RNAcentral
GACGAACGCUGGCGGCGUGCCUAAUACAUGCAAGUCGAGCGGACGAAUCGAAAGCUUGCUUUUGAUUCGUUAGCGGCGGACGGGUGAGUAACACGUGGGCAACCUGCCCUGUAGACGGGGUUAACACCGAGAAAUCGGUGCUAAUACCGGAUAACACGAAAUGUCGCAUGACGUUUCGUUGAAAGACGGCGCAAGCUGUCGCUACAGGAUGGGCCCGCGGCGCAUUAGCUAGUUGGUGAGGUAACGGCUCACCAAGGCGACGAUGCGUAGCCGACCUGAGAGGGUGAUCGGCCACACUGGGACUGAGACACGGCCCAGACUCCUACGGGAGGCAGCAGUAAGGAAUCUUCCGCAAUGGACGAAAGUCUGACGGAGCAACGCCGCGUGAGCGAAGAAGGCCUUCGGGUCGUAAAGCUCUGUUGUUAGGGAAGAACAAGUAACGCAGUAACUGGCGUUACCGUGACGGUACCUAACGAGAAAGCCACGGCUAACUACGUG